RNAcentral lists this ribosomal RNA (235 nucleotides) under uncultured bacterium. RNAcentral describes it as "partial 16S ribosomal RNA". It matches the Rfam family "Bacterial small subunit ribosomal RNA", at positions 118 to 353 of the family's 1533-position model. The record is from RNAcentral.
UGAGCAAUCUGCCCUUCUCAUCGGAAUAAGCGUUGGAAACGACGUCUAAUGCCGAAUACGACCUCCUUUCGCAUGAUCGGAGGUGGAAAGCUCCGGCGGAGAAGGAUGAGCUCGCGGCCUAUCAGCUAGUUGGUGGGGUAAUGGCCUACCAAGGCGUCGACGGGUAGCCGGCCUGAGAGGGCGACCGGCCACACUGGGACUGAGACACGGCCCAGACUCCGUACGGGAGGNAGCG